AUUAAUCAUACAAGCUUACAUGCACAUCCAGAAGGCACCAACGCAACUCGCAACCACCACUCUAUUAAUUAUUAUUAAAGUUUUCUAGAGUCGUUCUGCUUGGGCGGGCACCUGCGGGCGGUUUAACCUACAACGGCAAGGAAACCCUUCGGUGGGAUAUGGGGAACGGGGGAAAACCGGGGCAAUUCCCCUCCAUUUGUGCAAGCCCUGGAACGGGGUUUAAUCCGGAAUUGAUCCUUCCAGGCUUUUCGAGGUUCGAAAGUCCGGCGGUGCAGGAUGACCCCGGGCCUUUCAGCUAGUUGGGGAGUAACGGCUCCCCAAGCGACGACGGGUACCCGCCUUAGAGGGCGACCGGCCCCCCUGGGACUGAGACACGGCCCAGAUUCUUCGGGAGGCAGCAGUGGGGAAUAUUGCCCAAUGGGCGAAAGCCUGAUGCAGCGACGCCGCGUGAGGGAUGACGGCCUUCGGGUUGUAAACCUCUUUCAGCAGGGAAGAAGCGAAAGUGACGGUACCUGCAGAAGAAGCGCCGGCUAACUACGUGCCAGCAGCCGCGGUAAUACGUAGGGCGCAAGCGUUGUCCGGAAUUAUUGGGCGUAAAGAGCUCGUAGGCGGCUUGUCACGUCGGUUGUGAAAGCCCGGGGCUUAACCCCGGGUCUGCAGUCGAUACGGGCAGGCUAGAGUUCGGUAGGGGAGAUCGGAAUUCCUGGUGUAGCGGUGAAAUGCGCAGAUAUCAGGAGGAACACCGGUGGCGAAGGCGGAUCUCUGGGCCGAUACUGACGCUGAGGAGCGAAAGCGUGGGGAGCGAACAGGAUUAGAUACCCUGGUAGUCCACGCCGUAAACGGUGGGCACUAGGUGUGGGCAACAUUCCACGUUGUCCGUGCCGCAGCUAACGCAUUAAGUGCCCCGCCUGGGGAGUACGGCCGCAAGGCUAAAACUCAAAGGAAUUGACGGGGGCCCGCACAAGCGGCGGAGCAUGUGGCUUAAUUCGACGCAACGCGAAGAACCUUACCAAGGCUUGACAUACACCGGAAAACCCUGGAGACAGGGUCCCCCUUGUGGUCGGUGUACAGGUGGUGCAUGGCUGUCGUCAGCUCGUGUCGUGAGAUGUUGGGUUAAGUCCCGCAACGAGCGCAACCCUUGUCCCGUGUUGCCAGCAGGCCCUUGUGGUGCUGGGGACUCACGGGAGACCGCCGGGGUCAACUCGGAGGAAGGUGGGGACGACGUCAAGUCAUCAUGCCCCUUAUGUCUUGGGCUGCACACGUGCUACAAUGGCCGGUACAAUGAGCUGCGAUACCGCGAGGUGGAGCGAAUCUCAAAAAGCCGGUCUCAGUUCGGAUUGGGGUCUGCAACUCGACCCCAUGAAGUCGGAGUCGCUAGUAAUCGCAGAUCAGCAUUGCUGCGGUGAAUACGUUCCCGGGCCUUGUACACACCGCCCGUCACGUCUCGAAAGUCGGUAACACCCGAAGCCGGGGCCCAACCCCUGUGGGAGGGAGCGUCGAAGGGACGCGAUGCC
Molecule: ribosomal RNA, 1514 nt
Filed under: Streptomyces rochei
Lineage: Bacteria; Bacillati; Actinomycetota; Actinomycetes; Kitasatosporales; Streptomycetaceae
Description: bacterial SSU rRNA
Rfam family: Bacterial small subunit ribosomal RNA
Source: RNAcentral